This is a long non-coding RNA of Macrobrachium nipponense, 556 nucleotides long. RefSeq lists it as uncharacterized. The transcript is spliced from 3 exons. NCBI's taxonomy places the organism in Eukaryota, Metazoa, Arthropoda, Malacostraca, Decapoda, Palaemonidae. The record is from RefSeq and is a predicted model, not a curated record.
GGAACAUUUAAUAAACUGUGUGGUCCUGACUCCUGUAGUGUCCCCUUGAGGUAUUUGCUUUGCCUUUUGACCUGAGAGGAGCCGGAAAGGUCCCGGUACCAAUUUCGACUGUGACCGUUUAGUGUAUUUUGUUCCAGUGGCCACUGUUGGUGCUGUCGAACACUACGCUUCGAGCUGCUGGGUAAGAGCAAGGUACCCUGGGUAAGAGUUGUCAGAGAUGGGUGUGUGGGCACGAGGUCACACUACUCUCACAACAUACUGACAGUGGAUCACGAUUUUGGGGCAUGUGCCAUGACGGUGUGAACAGUAUCAUCACCUGCAUACCCUCACUGGAGAUAUGUGCCCAAUCAUACACUCUUAAAUUGUUAAAGAUUUUGCUUGUGUAGCACUUGCUAAGAAAGUUAAUUUUAUUUUGUUUAGUAGGUUAGUUGGCUAAAGAAGCUGCAUAAUUCAAUGCAAUUGCGAAAUUCUUUCAUUGAACUUAAAAUACUGAUUCUCAGUGAAUCUAUAAUUUCAUAACUUGAUAUAAAAAAAUAGGUUGGGACAAAUUCAACAA